Non-coding RNA from Schistosoma mansoni, 46 nucleotides. NCBI's taxonomy places the organism in Eukaryota, Metazoa, Platyhelminthes, Trematoda, Strigeidida, Schistosomatidae. The record is from Rfam.
AUCCAACUGACGUCUCCCAGAAUAGGACGAAACGUGCGUCCAGGAU